RNAcentral lists this ribosomal RNA (459 nucleotides) under uncultured bacterium. Its description in RNAcentral is "partial 16S ribosomal RNA". It matches the Rfam family "Bacterial small subunit ribosomal RNA", at positions 338 to 795 of the family's 1533-position model. The record is from RNAcentral.
CCUACGGGAGGCAGCAGUGAGGAAUAUUGGUCAAUGGUCGGGAGACUGAACCAGCCAAGCCGCGUGAGGGAUGAAGGUACAGAGUAUUGUAAACCUCUUUUGUCAGGGAAUAAAGGCGGGGACGUGUCCCUGGAUGUGUGUACCUGAUGAAAAAGCAUCGGCUAACUCCGUGCCAGCAGCCGCGGUAAUACGGAGGAUGCGAGCGUUAUCCGGAUUUAUUGGGUUUAAAGGGUGCGCAGGCGGCCUGUUAAGUCAGCGGUCAAAGCCCGGGGCUCAACCCCGGCCCGCCGUUGAAACUGGCAGGCUCGAGUUGGAGAGAAGUAUGCGGAAUGCGCGGUGUAGCGGUGAAAUGCAUAGAUAUCGCGCAGAACUCCGAUUGCGAAGGCAGCAUGCCGGCUCCACACUGACGCUGAGGCACGAAAGCGUGGGUAUCGAACAGGAUUAGAUACCCCUGUAGUC